GGACCCGUAGCUCAGCCAGGACAGAGCGCCGGCCUCCUAAGCCGGUGGUCCCGGGUUCAAAUCCCGGCGGGUCCG
Molecule: transfer RNA, 75 nt
Filed under: Sulfolobus acidocaldarius
Lineage: Archaea; Thermoproteati; Thermoproteota; Thermoprotei; Sulfolobales; Sulfolobaceae
Also listed under: 9 other names
Description: tRNA-Arg
Rfam family: tRNA
About the family: Transfer RNA (tRNA) molecules are approximately 80 nucleotides in length. Their secondary structure includes four short double-helical elements and three loops (D, anti-codon, and T loops).
Source: RNAcentral